RNAcentral lists this ribosomal RNA (460 nucleotides) under uncultured Treponema sp. Its description in RNAcentral is "partial 16S ribosomal RNA". It matches the Rfam family "Bacterial small subunit ribosomal RNA", at positions 341 to 792 of the family's 1533-position model. Lineage: Bacteria; Pseudomonadati; Spirochaetota; Spirochaetia; Treponematales; Treponemataceae. The record is from RNAcentral.
ACGGGAGGCAGCAGCUAAGAAUAUUCCGCAAUGGACGAAAGUCUGACGGAGCGACGCCGCGUGGAUGAUGAAGGCCGGAAGGUUGUAAAAUCCUUUUAUAACUGAGGAAUAAGUAUUAUCAGAGAAAGGUAGUAUGGUGACUGUAGGUUAUGAAUAAGCAACGGCUAAUUACGUGCCAGCAGCCGCGGUAACACGUAAGUUGCGAGCGUUGUUCGGAAUUAUUGGGCGUAAAGGGCAUGUAGGCGGUUUUGCAAGCUUGGUGUGAAAUCCCGGAGCUCAACUCCGGAAUUGCGUUGAGAACUGCAUAACUAGAGUCACUGAGGGGCAAUCAGAAUUCCAGGUGUAGGGGUGAAAUCUGUAGAUAUCUGGAAGAAUACCAAUGGCGAAGGCAGGUUACGGGCAGAUAAUUGACGCUGAGGUGCGAAGGUGCGGGGAGCGAACAGGAUUAGAUACCCUGGUA